This 429-nucleotide ribosomal RNA is filed under the name Pseudomonadota bacterium. Its description in RNAcentral is "Proteobacteria bacterium partial 16S ribosomal RNA". It matches the Rfam family "Bacterial small subunit ribosomal RNA", at positions 355 to 776 of the family's 1533-position model. The record is from RNAcentral. Lineage: Bacteria; Pseudomonadati; Pseudomonadota.
UGGGGAAUAUUGGACAAUGGGCGAAAGCCUGAUCCAGCCAUGCCGCGUGUGUGAAGAAGGUCUUCGGAUUGUAAAGCACUUUAAGUUGGGAGGAAGGGCAGUAAGCGAAUACCUUGCUGUUUUGACGUUACCGACAGAAUAAGCACCGGCUAACUCUGUGCCAGCAGCCGCGGUAAUACAGAGGGUGCAAGCGUUAAUCGGAAUUACUGGGCGUAAAGCGCGCGUAGGUGGUUCGUUAAGUUGAAUGUGAAAGCCCCGGGCUCAACCUGGGAACUGCAUCCAAAACUGGCGAGCUAGGGUAGGGCAGAGGGUGGUGGAAUUUACUGUGUAGAGGUGAAAUGCGUAGAUAUAGGAAGGAACACCAGUGGGGAAGGCGACCACCUGGGAUAAUACUGACACUGAGGUGCGAAAGCGUGGGGAGCAAACAGG